AGGCUGAUGGCGACCGGCGCACGGGUGAGUAACACGUAUCCAACCUGCCGUCUACUCUUGGCCAGCCUUCUGAAAGGAAGAUUAAUCCAGGAUGGCAUCAUGAGUUCACAUGUCCGCAUGAUUAAAGGUAUUUUCCGGUAGACGAUGGGGAUGCGUUCCAUUAGAUAGUAGGCGGGGUAACGGCCCACCUAGUCAACGAUGGAUAGGGGUUCUGAGAGGAAGGUCCCCCACAUUGGAACUGAGACACGGUCCAAACUCCUACGGGAGGCAGCAGUGAGGAAUAUUGGUCAAUGGGCGAUGGCCUGAACCAGCCAAGUAGCGUGAAGGAUGACUGCCCUAUGGGUUGUAAACUUCUUUUAUAAAGGAAUAAAGUCGGGUAUGCAUACCCGUUUGCAUGUACUUUAUGAAUAAGGAUCGGCUAACUCCGUGCCAGCAGCCGCGGUAAUACGGAGGAUCCGAGCGUUAUCCGGAUUUAUUGGGUUUAAAGGGAGCGUAGAUGGAUGUUUAAGUCAGUUGUGAAAGUUUGCGGCUCAACCGUAAAAUUGCAGUUGAUACUGGAUGUCUUGAGUGCAGUUGAGGCAGGCGGAAUUCGUGGUGUAGCGGUGAAAUGCUUAGAUAUCACGAAGACUCCGAUUGCGAAGGCAGCCUGC
This 650-nucleotide ribosomal RNA is filed under the name uncultured Bacteroidales bacterium. RNAcentral describes it as "bacterial SSU rRNA". It matches the Rfam family "Bacterial small subunit ribosomal RNA", at positions 82 to 729 of the family's 1533-position model. Lineage: Bacteria; Pseudomonadati; Bacteroidota; Bacteroidia; Bacteroidales. The record is from RNAcentral.